RNAcentral lists this ribosomal RNA (254 nucleotides) under uncultured bacterium. Its description in RNAcentral is "partial 16S ribosomal RNA". It matches the Rfam family "Bacterial small subunit ribosomal RNA", at positions 524 to 776 of the family's 1533-position model. The record is from RNAcentral.
UACGUAGGGUGCGAGCGUUGUCCGGAAUUAUUGGGCGUAAAGAGCUCGUAGGCGGUCUGUCGCGUCGAUCGUGAAAACUUGGGGCUUAACCCUGAGCUUGCGGUCGAUACGGGCAUGACUGGAGUUCGGCAGGGGAGACUGGAAUUCCUGGUGUAGCGGUGGAAUGCGCAGAUAUCAGGAGGAACACCGAUGGCGAAGGCAGAUCUCUGGGCCGUAACUGACGCUGAGGAGCGAAAGCAUGGGGAGCGAACAGG